This is a ribosomal RNA of 837 nucleotides. It matches the Rfam family "Eukaryotic small subunit ribosomal RNA", at positions 141 to 1006 of the family's 1831-position model.
GGAUAACUGUGGUAAUUCUGGAGCUAAUACAUGCAACAAUGCUCAGUUUCGGCUGGGUGCAGUUAUUAGUACGAACCAAUCGCUUUCGGGCGUUGUUUGUUGACUCUGAAUACCCUGUUUAUCGGCGGUUUAUCCGCUGAAGUCUGGAAUUUUGUGUCUGCCCUAUCAACUAGAUGAUAGUCUAUUAGUCUAUCAUGGUUGUAACGGGUAACGGAGAAUAAGGGUUCGACUCCGGAGAGGGAGCCUUAGAAACGGCUACCACAUCCAAGGAAGGCAGCAGGCGCGUAACUUAUCCACUACUCUCUGUGAGAUAGGAACAUCGAAUAAAAAGACUCAUCUUUCUAGAUGGGUUAUUUCAAUGAGUUGAACUUAAACAGUUCUUCGAGGACCCAGUGGAGGGCAAGUCUGGUGCCAGCAGCCGCGGUAAUUCCAGCUCCACUAAUGUAAAUCUACAUUGUUGCGGUUAAAAAGCUCGUAGUUGAAAUCGAGUCAUGCAGCUUUGAAACGGCUUUGCCGAUAUUCUUAGCGGUGACUAUUUUGCCAGUACUUCGGCAGGUUACUUCGGUGCCUGUCGUGUCUGGCGAGUUUACUUUGAAUAAAUUAAAGUGCUCAAGACAGGCGUAUGCCUGAAUAUCUUAGCUAGGAAUAAUAAAACAGGACUACGGUUCUAUUUAUUGGUUCAGAAUUCGUGGUAAUGAUUAAUAGGGACAGUUCGGGGGCAUUCGUAUUUCUGCGCGAGAGGUGAAAUUCGGUGACCGCAGGAAGACGUCCUGAAGCGAAAGCUAUUGCCAAGUCUGUCUUCUUUAAUCAAGAACGAAAGUCAGAGGUUCGAAGGCG